This 253-nucleotide ribosomal RNA is filed under the name uncultured bacterium. RNAcentral describes it as "partial 16S ribosomal RNA". It matches the Rfam family "Bacterial small subunit ribosomal RNA", at positions 524 to 776 of the family's 1533-position model. The record is from RNAcentral.
UACGUAGGGGGCAAGCGUUAUCCGGAUUUACUGGGUGUAAAGGGGGCGCAGACGGCGAUGCAAGCCAGGAGUGAAAGCCCGUGGCCCAACCCCGGGACUGCUCUUGGAACUGCGUGGCUGGAGUGCAGGAGGGGCAGGCGGAAUUCCUGGUGUAGCGGUGAAAUGCGUAGAUAUCAGGAGGAACACCGGUGGCGAAGGCGGCCUGCUGGACUGCAACUGACGUUGAGGCUCGAAAGCGUGGGGAGCAAACAGG